GAUGAACGCUGGCGGCGUGCCUAAUACAUGCAAGUCGAGCGAACGGACGAGAAGCUUGCUUCUCUGAUGUUAGCGGCGGACGGGUGAGUAACACGUGGAUAACCUACCUAUAAGACUGGGAUAACUUCGGGAAACCGUAGCUAAUACCGGAUAAUAUUUUGAACCGCAUGGUUCAAAAGUGAAAGACGGUCUUGCUGUCACUUAUAGAUGGAUCCGCGCUGCAUUAGCUAGUUGGUAAGGUAACGGCUUACCAAGGCAACGAUGCAUAGCCGACCUGAGAGGGUGAUCGGCCACACUGGAACUGAGACACGGUCCAGACUCCUACGGGAGGCAGCAGUAGGGAAUCUUCCGCAAUGGGCGAAAGCCUGACGGAGCAACGCCGCGUGAGUGAUGAAGGUCUUCGGAUCGUAAAACUCUGUUAUUGGGAAAGAACAUAUGUGUAAUUAAAUGUGCACAUCUUGACGGUACCUAAUCAGAAAGCCACGGCUAACUACGUG
RNAcentral lists this ribosomal RNA (497 nucleotides) under uncultured bacterium. RNAcentral's name for it is "partial 16S ribosomal RNA". It matches the Rfam family "Bacterial small subunit ribosomal RNA", at positions 28 to 507 of the family's 1533-position model. The record is from RNAcentral.